CUUGAAGAUGCCGGCCUCCGCCCAGCCGCCUGCCACGAAGAGCACCGCGCAGUCGGCCUGCACCGCGGGGAUACACAAACACACCGGGUUGCGGGAGGGGGCAUCGGACUGACUUUGGGAGGUUCCGAAUCCCAUUGUAAAGCUGGGGAAUGCCCUCCAGAACUCAGAUGGCCAAAUGGGAUUCAUGGACCACCCUAGAUGCGGUGCAUGGGGGUCCUGCUUCCCAGUUCCUCUCAUUUAAUCUCAUCUAAAUCAGCUUUUAGUCCCUUCUUUCUGGACCAACUGAUCUACUAGUCUGAGUGUAAGAAAACCUGGUCCCUCUAGGCCCCCCCAGGACAACAGGAUCUGAGCUUCAUGAGAGUGAUGGGACUUUCAGUCCUGUCCUCCCUAAUUCUUUCAGGAUUGAUGGAUGAUGGCCAUAGGAAUGUUUCUGAAGGCAUGGACUGCUUUACCUGGGAAGUGCCCCUGAUCAUGGUCAUGAUGAAGUCUCUGUGGCCUGGAGCAUCGAUGAUAAUGCUGUAAUCCUUUUCCUUCCCGUCUCCACAUGUCCAGAAGUUUGGUCCCCAUAAAAUUACAGUGGGCUGGGCACAGUUGCUCACGCCUGUAAUCUCAGCACUUUGGGAGCCUGAAGCAGGAGGAUCACUUGAACUUAGGAAAAGAAGGCCAGCCUGGGCAAUAUGAUUUAACCCAUCUCUACAAAAAAUUAAAAAUAGAGAAAAGAAAAAUUAGCCAGGCACAGUAGUGUGCACCUGAGGGGGCUGAAGUGGGAGAAUCACUUGAGCCUGGGAAGCAGAGGUUGCAGUGUGCCAAGAUCACAUGACUGCACUCCAUUCUGGGUGACAGAGUGAAACACUGUAUC
This 859-nucleotide long non-coding RNA is filed under the name Homo sapiens (human). Its description in RNAcentral is "HSALNT0364380". Lineage: Eukaryota; Metazoa; Chordata; Mammalia; Primates; Hominidae. The record is from RNAcentral.